This 459-nucleotide ribosomal RNA is filed under the name uncultured bacterium. Its description in RNAcentral is "bacterial SSU rRNA". It matches the Rfam family "Bacterial small subunit ribosomal RNA", at positions 791 to 1246 of the family's 1533-position model. The record is from RNAcentral.
UAGUCCACGCAGUAAACGAUGAGUGCUAGUCGCUGGGACAUUAGUUUCAGUGUCGAAGCUAACGCAUUAAGCACUCCGCCUGGGAAGUACGGUCGCAAGAUUAAAACUCAAAUGAAUUGACGGGGGACCCGCACAAGUAGUGGAGCAUGUGGUUUAAUUCGAAGAUACGCGCAGAACCUUACCAACACUUGACAUGUUCGUCGCGACUUCAAGAGAUUAAAGUUUUCGGUUCGGCCGGACGAAACACAGGUGCUGCAUGGCUGUCGUCAGCUCGUGUCGUGAGAUGUUGGGUUAAGUCCCGCAACGAGCGCAACCCUCACUUUUAGUUGCCAUCAUUAAGUUGGGCACUCUGAAAGAACUGCCAGUGAUAAGCUGGAGGAAGGUGGGGGAUGACGUCAAGUCCUCAUGGCCCUUAUGGGGCUGGGGCUACACACGUGCUACAAUGGGCGGUGACAAGGG